This is a long non-coding RNA of Pyrus x bretschneideri (Chinese white pear), 507 nucleotides long. RefSeq lists it as uncharacterized. The transcript has 2 exons. NCBI's taxonomy places the organism in Eukaryota, Viridiplantae, Streptophyta, Magnoliopsida, Rosales, Rosaceae. The record is from RefSeq and is a predicted model, not a curated record.
GCGAUUCUCACUAUCAGACACUCAAAGUCUAAGAGUCUUCUUCAUCCAGUGCACUGUGCACCGAUCCUCCCCCAAAUAAGAUUUGUAGGUUACUCUUCUAUGUCAAAACUCAGAAACUUCAACACACAAUGGAAUGCAGCAGCAACAAUAGGAAUUAUAAAGGUGUAGAUUUUAAGUCCUGUUUUCUCCAUAAUUUUUUGCUUCUUUAUAUAUACUUUUCAACUUUCUAAUUUGUCUUUAAUGCUUUAAUACUUUAUACAUACCAAUCAACAACAAUAAACAUGGUAAGAGAGCAACCACAACCAUCAACAAGAUCAAGGGCCGAAGGGGCCAACAAUCUUCAUGAACUUUAAGCUUUUCUUUUUGCUUUUGGAUUUGUUACUUAACUUAAUUUAUUUUUGUUGCAUGCAUGUGGAAUGUUGAAUUUAAAUAGUUUGAUGGUAGAAUAUAUUUGAAGAACAAUUCAUAAUUUCAUAUUUCAAUUAGGGCUAUAAAUCUAUGAUUGCA